CACUUGGACUGGACUGGACCAGAGAGCAGCCCUUGGGCAGGGCAGGGAAGGCCAAGUGCAAAUGCUCAUCUUCUCUUCAUCCCAGCUGACCAUACCCUCAGCAAACUUCAACUGUUGGCUUUACAACUCCUACCUGAUGAUCCUGGAGACAGCCUCUACAUCUUUCUCCACACACUUCUCCUGAUGACUUCCUUUUUCACAGGAGAACACUGAGGCUAUCUAGGAAAUAACAUUCCUGAGCAUUCCUUAUGCAACAUGAAAGUUCUGUUGUCAGUUCUCAAUGAAGCCAUCAGAUCUUCCUGACUGCUGCCUAACACAAGAGCACAGGACUCCUGUAUCAUUCCCUGAGGAUUCAGAAAUUUGAUCAAAUAGAGAUUUUCAGGAAUUGCCUUCCAAUCAAUUUCCUGAGCAAAAAUCAUCACAGAAGAUUUCUGUGACCAAAUAUAUAGGGGUUUUUCUCCACCAAUAAGCAAUCAAUUCUGCAGUGGACAUCAUCUGGGAAUCCUCCAAUUCAACAUCUGACACUAUCCACCUGGAGAUAGCAUCAGAUCCCACAGGUUGAAGGCACAGUCUUCAUGACCACCUCCACUCUUCAGACACCAAUUUUAAGUCUGGGCCUCCAGAACAUCUGACCAACUGGGGUUCUCACAACCCCUCUUUGGAUUCAAUUAAUUUCCUGGAGUACCUCACAGAACUCAGGGAAACAUUUAUUUGUGUUUAUUUGUUUAUUGUAAAGGAUAUUUUAUAGACUACAAAUAAAGAGCCAGAGAUACUUAGGGUGAGGUCUGGAAGGGUCUUGAGUGUAGCAGUUUCUGCCUCCAUGGAGGUAGAGUGCACCACCCUUCUUACAUAUGGAUGAGUUCUUGUUCAUCUCCCUGUAGGUCUCCCCAUGUUUAGCUCUCUGGAAGCCCCUGAAUCCCGUCCUCUCAGGCCUUAUAUGGAGACUUCAUUGGAUAGGCAUGAUUGCAUCACGGACAACCAUGUCACAAUGUGACUGGACAAAAAGGGUAUGAUUUAAACUCAGCAAAGGCCAAACUGUUCAGAUUCUUCACUCCUUUCUGUGCAGCAUUCCUUCCUCCAGGGUAUGGGGCAGGAUCUUCUCUAGAAUGAGGGUCUUAUGACCCACAAUCAGAUUAGAGUCCUGUCUUGGAAAGGUGAAAGAAAGGAGGGCAGGAGGAGGUUAGAGGGAAAGAUUCUCUUUAUUGUAACAAAGGCUAUGGGAGUUUAACCCCAGGAACUGUAGAUGAAAAUUGUCAUAUUAUGAUAAAUCAAACAAAAACUGAGUUCUUGUAAUAGCUUUGAAAUAGUCUCAAAUGCUUCUAAAUAACACUGAUAUUAUAAAAUAGGUCUAAUGGGACAUUGAAAAGCCUGGUUGUUUCUGAUGUUAGGAUUAAUAAGUAAAAACAAAAAAGAAACUGAUUGGCACCUAAAUAUAAAUAUCCUGGUCAGGAUUUAAAAAAGAAUUCAUAUAAAUGAUACAACCACAUAUUUGAAAAUGUGCAAUAUGUAUUAUCCAGGUAUUAGCUGGAUCCAGGUAUUAGCUGGUAUUUCAGCUACUAUGGAGUAAUUACUUUGUCUUUCUUAUGGUUUCCAAAAUGUAGAUAAGGGAGUUUCACUGCAUCUUCUGGAAGCCAAGCCUGAGUUUUGCCAUCAUUACAUGAAUUCUGCCACAAAUCAGAAAUUUGCAUUAUUGGUAAAGCUACUCAAACAUAGCAAGCUAAUUAAUACAUUAUAUUGCAGGAGAGAGGCUUAGAGAAAUGAUUACAAUUACUUUCCAAAAUGUAAAAUCAAUCAUAAAUUAUCCUUACAAUUGCUUGAACUGAAACCAAGAAAUAAAGUAAAUUACUCAUCCUUUUAAGGCUGGUUGCAAUAAACUCACUUUCUCAGAUCUUUAUGGCUUACUAGUUUUUCUGUUUAUGUUCCUGACUUUAAGCUAAGUUACCACAGAGAUUCUGCAAAUAUGGGUUUGUUUGUAUGUUUGGAGAUAAUUGAAGUGGCUCUUUAAGAAGCAUAAAUUUGAAAAUGUAUUGCUUCAAGUUGCUUUGCAAGAUUCAUGCUGGGUCAUUAAAAGAGAAAAAAUUAAA
RNAcentral lists this long non-coding RNA (2084 nucleotides) under Homo sapiens (human). RNAcentral describes it as "HSALNT0062595". The record is from RNAcentral. Lineage: Eukaryota; Metazoa; Chordata; Mammalia; Primates; Hominidae.